This 237-nucleotide unclassified non-coding RNA is filed under the name Hevea brasiliensis (rubber tree). The record is from RNAcentral. Lineage: Eukaryota; Viridiplantae; Streptophyta; Magnoliopsida; Malpighiales; Euphorbiaceae.
AUUCUCUGCUUCAUUUAGUCUCUACCAGAGAAUUGAAACUUCGUCUCCUAACUUGCAUCCUUGUGGGGGAUCAAGGUUAUAAACAACUAUCCUUCUUGAUGGAGCUGCCUGGUUAUUAGUUUGUUCCACUAAUUCUUCCUCCAAUAUAGUACCUCCUGCAGCUAUCACCAAAUUCUGGAGAUCUUCCUUGUAACUGGACACAAAGUCACCAGCAAAAUAGAAUUUCAAGCCAUUGAA